CAAUAGCGUAUAUUAAAGUUGUUGCGGUUAAAAAGCUCGUAGUUGGAUUUCUGCUGAGAACGACCGGUCCGCCCUCUGGGUGUGUAUCUGGCUCUUUCUUGGCAUCUUCUUGGUGAACGUUGCUGCACUUGACUGUGUGGAGCGCUACCCAGGACUUUUACUUUGAGGAAAUUAGAGUGUUUCAAGCAGGCAUACGCCUUGAAUACAUUAGCAUGGAAUAAUAAGAUAGGACCUCGGUUCUAUUUUGUUGGUUUCUAGAGCUGAGGUAAUGAUUAAUAGGGAUAGUUGGGGGCAUUCGUAUUUAACUGGCAGAGGUGAAAUUCUUGGAUUUGUUAAAGACGGACUACUGCGAAAGCAUUUGCCAAGGAUGUUUNCAUUG
This 379-nucleotide ribosomal RNA is filed under the name uncultured eukaryote. RNAcentral's name for it is "partial 18S ribosomal RNA". It matches the Rfam family "Eukaryotic small subunit ribosomal RNA", at positions 592 to 975 of the family's 1831-position model. The record is from RNAcentral.